AGAGUUUGAUCCUGGCUCAGGAUAAACGCUGGCGGCGUGCCUAACACAUGCAAGUCGAACGCCCUACGCAAGUAGGGAGUGGCGGACGGGUGAGUAACACGUGGGCAUCUGCCAUCAGGUGAGGAAUACCGGCGAGAAAUCGCCGACAAAACCGCAUAUGCUCGGCAACGAGCAAAGUCGCAAGACGCCUGAUGAUGAGC
RNAcentral lists this ribosomal RNA (200 nucleotides) under uncultured bacterium. Its description in RNAcentral is "partial 16S ribosomal RNA". It matches the Rfam family "Bacterial small subunit ribosomal RNA", at positions 8 to 230 of the family's 1533-position model. The record is from RNAcentral.